Molecule: long non-coding RNA, 262 nt
Filed under: Struthio camelus australis
Lineage: Eukaryota; Metazoa; Chordata; Aves; Struthioniformes; Struthionidae
Description: lncRNA (ENSSCUG00000009877.1)
Source: RNAcentral
GCCCGCCCGCCCGCCGUGGGCGCAAGGCGAAGCUGCCCCGUCUGCCCUCGCCCGAGCCUUCGCUUCGCUUCGCUUCCCCCAGCUCUCCUCCGUCUGUGCCUGCGAUGGCUUCAUCACGGGUCAUUUUUCUGCCUGGCUGCCGCCCUCCCCCCUCAAGCAGGGUCUGCGGUGCAGUGCUGUUCCACAGGAUAGAUUUUACAGGAAAUUUUCCUCUGCACAUCAAAUAUUUGGAGACACACAGGCUUGAAACAAAGAACAGAAC